Ictalurus furcatus (blue catfish) is the source of this 1709-nucleotide long non-coding RNA. RefSeq lists it as uncharacterized. Lineage: Eukaryota; Metazoa; Chordata; Actinopteri; Siluriformes; Ictaluridae. The transcript has 3 exons. The record is from RefSeq and is a predicted model, not a curated record.
AUCAGGAAAUGGCACCUCCCUCUAGCGGUCUUCCUGCAGAAUGCCAUGCUGAAUGCGUCACAGCUUCUGGAGCAGUUAUUUUCGAGUGGCUCUUUUUGUGUUGUUUUUGAGUAUGGAAAUUCUAUAAAUUACGUUAAAAAAAACACAUAACUUUUUUUUUUGUCUUAACACACAAAAUGUGUAUUCAAUCUUCUUAAUGUAUUCCAAAGACGAGCUUAACUCUUCUUUAUGCAACAAACACUAUUUAAUCAACACUUCUUUAUUUAAAAACAAUGUUAACAGGAAAGAACGCUAACAGUCAGGUGUGGAGCACGUGCUUGUUUUGGUGGAAAAAGAACUGUCCAGACCUCCGCCAGGACCUGCACAGGCUGUAGCUCUAUCGGCGGUAAGUAUAAAAGCGGCGGUUUAUCAGUGUUUAUUUACAGUCACAGUGUUUAACCUCACGCUUCCUACCUCGCUAAGCAGAUCAUGUCUGAGGUCAAGGCACUCAUCACUCAGAUAACAGAUGCGUUAAAGUAACAUCUGAAGUAGUUGGCCAGACUGAGCCUAGUGCUUCAGCAGCUGGUGAAGGUGGGAGCGGAGGGAGAGAAGGACUCUUGAGCAGAAGGUACUGCACUGAAAUGCUUCAAGCUGCUUUCACACUUGGGUGUGUUUGAAUACACACCUGGUCAGAAUAACUUUCAGACAUCAUGUCCGGACCUGCGCACGACCAACAGGCUGUAGCUCUAGACCCGGCGGUAAGGAUGCACAGUAAGGUGAUGUAAUGACGUGUGCCGUUAAUCUAAUUAUGUUCUAUAACAUGUAAAACGGGUACCAGUAUUCUAAAAGUGACUCAUGUAAACGCUUUAAUCACAUUAUUAUCUUACUCAGAGUGAGGUUAAUAAUUAGAUUACUGCUGUCCAUGUAAACGUAGUCUUAUUCUCGGUCUCUCUCUACGUAUUCAUUACACACCUGUUUGACUGACUGUGUUUAACGUGCAGAACAAGCAGUAGGACUACCUGGCGCAGGCCGAGCUGAGCCGAAUGCUUCAGGAGAAACAACAGCUGGCCAAGAUGGGAGCGGAGGGAGCGACGGUGGAGAAGAAUCUUGAGCAGAAGAUCAGCACAGAGAACAGCAUUGUGCUCUACCAGUGUGGGUGAUUAUCCUGAUAGUGAUGAUUUUGCUGCUGGAUGUUGGACUGGUUCUGAUAUUUCUGCACCAGAGGAGAGAAAUUCAGUCCUUAGAAAGGAGAUGUGUAAGUACCGCUGUGACAUCAGAGAUCACAUGACUGUGUGCUGUAAACAGAAUAAAAUCCACAGCACAUCCCCCUGAUUAGACGCCACUCAGUCACUGCAUGGACACUUCCACAACAGAAAUAUAAUUAUCUCCUAUAAAUGACACUUUUACUGUCAGAAUAGUUCCACAUUUUAUUCAGUAAUGUCACAUGAUCACUGAGAGAGAACACUUCACCCUUUAAACAUCAGAUUAUUCAUAGUUUAAAAUAUUUAUCUGAACACUCAGCAUUGCAUACCAUGCUCUGACUCUUUAAAAGUGAAUUCCUCCAGUCUCACACUGAGAAGAAAUCCUCUACAGUUUCUUUAUAAAUAAACACUUUCAACUGAAUUGUAUUCACCAGGCUUGGAGGAGAUGUGAUGUUACUGAGAGUAGGCAUGUCGAGCUGGUGUUUAACCAUUAUUAAUAGUGUUUAAUGACUCUGUGUGUGUGUUAAC